AUCGCUUUGGCCGAGUGGUUAAGGCGUGUGCCUGCUAAGUGCAUGUGGUUUCCAGAGUUCGAAUCUCUUCGGCGACG
Molecule: transfer RNA, 77 nt
Filed under: Nicotiana sylvestris (wood tobacco)
Lineage: Eukaryota; Viridiplantae; Streptophyta; Magnoliopsida; Solanales; Solanaceae
Also listed under: 1 other name
Rfam family: tRNA
About the family: Transfer RNA (tRNA) molecules are approximately 80 nucleotides in length. Their secondary structure includes four short double-helical elements and three loops (D, anti-codon, and T loops). Further hydrogen bonds mediate the characteristic L-shaped molecular structure. tRNAs have two regions of fundamental functional importance: the anti-codon, which is responsible for specific mRNA codon recognition, and the 3' end, to which the tRNAs corresponding amino acid is attached (by aminoacyl-tRNA synthetases). tRNAs cope with the degeneracy of the genetic code in two manners: having more than one tRNA (with a specific anti-codon) for a particular amino acid; and 'wobble' base-pairing, i.e. permitting non-standard base-pairing at the 3rd anti-codon position.
Source: Rfam by way of RNAcentral